Molecule: transfer RNA, 72 nt
Filed under: Trichobilharzia regenti
Lineage: Eukaryota; Metazoa; Platyhelminthes; Trematoda; Strigeidida; Schistosomatidae
Rfam family: tRNA
About the family: Transfer RNA (tRNA) molecules are approximately 80 nucleotides in length. Their secondary structure includes four short double-helical elements and three loops (D, anti-codon, and T loops).
Source: Rfam by way of RNAcentral
ACGUCGGUGGUUCAGUAGUAGAACACUGGCCGACCAAGCAAGUGGUCCUAGGUCCGAUUCCCAGCCGGCGUA